Molecule: ribosomal RNA, 253 nt
Filed under: uncultured bacterium
Lineage: Bacteria
Description: partial 16S ribosomal RNA
Rfam family: Bacterial small subunit ribosomal RNA
Source: RNAcentral
UACGUGAGCCCCGAGCAUUAUCCGGAAUUAUUGGGCGUAAAGGGUUCGUAGGUGGUUUAAUUAGUCUCCUGUCAAAGCACCGGGCUUAACCCGGGACAGGCAGGAGAAACGGUUAAACUAGAGAAAUUGAGGGGUGUGUGGAACUCAUGGUGUAGGGGUGAAAUCCGUUGAUAUCAUGGGGAACACCAAAAGCGAAGGCAACACACUGGCAAUUUUCUGACACUGAGGGACGAAACCCAGGGUAGCGAAGGGG